GACGAACCGUGCGAACGUUAUUCGGAAUCACCGGGCUUAAAGCGCGUGUAGGCGGGCCGCCACGUCGGGCGCUGAAAUCCCCCGGCUCAACCGGGGAACGGGCACCGAUACGAGCGGCCUGGAGGGGAGUAGGGGGACCUGGAACUUCCGGUGGAGCGGUGAAAUGCGUUGAGAUCGGAAGGAACGCCCGUGGCGAAAGCGAGGUCCUGGGCUCCUGCUGACGCUGAGACGCGAAAGCCAGGGGAGCGAACGGG
This 254-nucleotide ribosomal RNA is filed under the name uncultured bacterium. Its description in RNAcentral is "partial 16S ribosomal RNA". It matches the Rfam family "Bacterial small subunit ribosomal RNA", at positions 524 to 776 of the family's 1533-position model. The record is from RNAcentral.